Lolium perenne is the source of this 1369-nucleotide non-coding RNA. Lineage: Eukaryota; Viridiplantae; Streptophyta; Magnoliopsida; Poales; Poaceae. The record is from RefSeq and is a predicted model, not a curated record.
CUUUUGUGGUACCCCCAAGUCAAUAAUAGCCCUCUAUUUUAGUCCAUCCAAAGGCUCAAAAGAAAUCAUACUGCUCUCAAAAACGAGAGAGGUAUGUAUCAUACCGAUGCCAAAUUUCGCAGCAAACUAGAAAGAGGCCCUAUCUGGGCCCAGCCCAGUAGACGCCCACGACCCAAUUGACAGCCCGACACAUGUGUGGAUAUCCUCGUUCAUCAGGGAACUCGCUGGGUUGGGUGCGGCCGGCAAUCCACAAGUCCGACGCCGGCGUCCUUGCGAGAUAUCCACCUCCUCCCCUCCGCCGCCCCUUCCCGUACAUGUCCUGGCCGCGCUCCCUUGGCCGGCGACGACAUUCUCGGUCGCCAAGGCGGUCGAUUCUGGGGAAGCGCAACACCGGCGCCCUCUUCCCGGCCGCGGCGCCCUGGGCCUCACCGCUGAUUGAAGAUGGUGCUCGCCGCCCUCUUCGCACGCGAAGAAGCCCGAGAUAUUCACAGUGGUUCGGGUGCGUUGCGUGGCGGUCAUCGCGUCGCGGCGCCCGUGCCGGCUCGGCGGUGCUGCAUGAGAUUGGAGGAGGCCGACGAUGUGAGGCGUCGCCUGCGCGUCGUCUUCUCCCGCGUUGGUCCUUCGCGGUGGUCGUCCUCGGCAUCCAGACCGUGGUGGACUGCGAGCUGGACAGGAAUUCGUCCCUAGCGACAAGACGGGGUUCGGCGUGUAGUUCUCGUCGCAUAGGGGUUCAGCGGCGAGGUGGCCACAACAACCAGGUGGCCGGCGCUCGUGCGGGUGCCGGGAAGGUGUGCCUGGGCUCUGGGCGACUGCCUGGUGGCCAACAUUGGGUCACUGUGCGAGUGCCAGCGCUCUGAACAAGACAGCGACAUGCUCCCUGUAAGUCUCUGUAAGCAUCAUCGUACUGCAUUGUACAAGUUUAAGACCUGGCGCAGCAAGAUUGACGGCACAGGACCUGGAUUUCAUGGCUUUGAUUAAUUCAAAGUACGCCUGCUGUGAGCAUCUCUACCCUGACGAUGACGAAGACCUGAGCUGCAAGCACAAGUUUAAGACCUGGCGCAGCAAGAUUGACGGCACAGGACCUGGAUUUCAUGGCGAGGCGUGAUUAGAAGUUGCUAUGAUCAGCUUUUCUCCGGUGUUUACUUGAAUUUGUCAUGUUUUAGACUAGCUGUUUUUAUCAAGUUUGGUACUAGUAUUGUUUACUUCAAUUUUUCAUUCCGUUUGAUACAGAGAUCUUGUUAUUUAAUACUCCCUCCAGUCUGACGCGAGCGUGUAUACUAAUUAGCCUAGGUUAGGCACAAACGUUGCAUCGAUUAAAUCCGACCAGAUGAGUAAUACAAUUUGGAUAUCAUUUAUCCUAUUUUUGAAA